RNAcentral lists this ribosomal RNA (253 nucleotides) under uncultured bacterium. RNAcentral describes it as "partial 16S ribosomal RNA". It matches the Rfam family "Bacterial small subunit ribosomal RNA", at positions 524 to 776 of the family's 1533-position model. The record is from RNAcentral.
GACGGGGGAUGCAAGCGUUAUCCGGAAUCACUGGGCGUAAACCGUCUGUAGGUGGUGAUGCAAGUCACUGGUGCAAAACUCUGGCUCAACCGGAGGAAAGCCAGUGAAACUGGAUGACUAGAGUGUGGGAGAGGUAGAAGGAAUUCCCUGAGUAGCGGUGAAAUGCGUCGAUACAGGGAAGAACACCGGAGGCGAAAGCGUUCUACUGGAACACAACUGACACUGAGAGGCGAAAGCUAGGGGAGCGUAUGGG